GGAAGUAAAAGUCGUCACAAGGUUUCCGUAGGUGAACCUGCGGAAGGAUCAUUAUUGUAUAACCGAGGUGCGAGGGCUGUCGCUGACCCGAAAGGUCGUGCACGCCCGAGUGCCCUCACACACAUCCAUCUCACCCCUAUGUGCACCACCGCGUGGGUCCCCCUUUGGCUUGUUCGGAGGGGGGCUUACGUUUUCACACAAACUUUGUAUGCAGUGUAGAAUGUAUUUUUUGUUUUUGCGAUCACGCAAUCAAUGCAACUUUCAACAACGGAUCUCUUGGCUCUC
This 285-nucleotide unclassified non-coding RNA is filed under the name plant metagenome. RNAcentral describes it as "partial contains small subunit ribosomal RNA, internal transcribed spacer 1, and 5.8S ribosomal RNA". The stretch from base 1 to 54 matches the Rfam family "Eukaryotic small subunit ribosomal RNA", at positions 1778 to 1831 of the family's 1831-position model. The record is from RNAcentral.